RNAcentral lists this microRNA (18 nucleotides) under Corchorus olitorius. RNAcentral's name for it is "cel-miR-2". Lineage: Eukaryota; Viridiplantae; Streptophyta; Magnoliopsida; Malvales; Malvaceae. The record is from RNAcentral.
UGUGGGCAAGGGUGUUUG